RNAcentral lists this ribosomal RNA (253 nucleotides) under uncultured bacterium. RNAcentral's name for it is "partial 16S ribosomal RNA". It matches the Rfam family "Bacterial small subunit ribosomal RNA", at positions 524 to 776 of the family's 1533-position model. The record is from RNAcentral.
UACGUAGGGUGCGAGCGUUGUCCGGAAUUACUGGGCGUAAAGAGCUCGUAGGUGGUUUGUCGCGUUGUCCGUGAAAACUCACAACUCAAUUGUGGGCGUGCGGGCGAUACGGGCAGACUGGAGUACUGCAGGGGAGACUGGAAUUCCUGGUGUAGCGGUGGAAUGCGCAGAUAUCAGGAAGAACACCCGUGGCGAAGGCGGCUCUCUGGUACGUGACUGACGCUGAGACGCGAAAGCGUGGGGAGCGAACAGG